AUGCAAUGAUGAGUGAAGUAGAGCCUGACCUGGUAUAGCCACUGCUCCGGUGCUGGCUUUGACCAGGGCGUGAUCCCUUAAUCUUCUCUCUGAGCUG
Molecule: small nucleolar RNA, 97 nt
Organism: Acomys russatus (golden spiny mouse)
Lineage: Eukaryota; Metazoa; Chordata; Mammalia; Rodentia; Muridae
Product: Z30 small nucleolar RNA
Exons: 1
Source: RefSeq, a predicted model, not a curated record